GGACCCGCACAAGCAGCGGAGCGUGUGGUUUAAUUCGUUGCUACACGAAGAACCUUACCUAGGUUUGACAUAUAGGUUGUAGGGAACUGAAAAGGGACCGACCCUUCGGGGAGCCUAUACAGGUGUUGCAUGGCUGUCGUCAGCUCGUGUCGUGAGAUGUUCGGUUAAGUCCGCUAACGAGCGCAACCCUCGCCGUAUGUUACAAGUGUCAUACGGGACUGCCGGUAAAAAGUCGGAGGAAGGUGGGGAUGAUGUCAAGUCAGCAUGACCUUUAUAUCUAGGGCUACACACACGCUACAAUGGUCUGUACAAUGGGUAGCCAAGCCGCGAGGCGGAGCCAAUCCUGAAAGCAGGCCUCAGUUCAGAUUGCAGUCUGCAACCCGACUGCAUGAAGCCGGAGUUGCUAGUAACCGCAGGUCAGCAAUACUGCGGUGAAUACGUUCCCGGGUCUU
This 452-nucleotide ribosomal RNA is filed under the name uncultured bacterium. Its description in RNAcentral is "bacterial SSU rRNA". It matches the Rfam family "Bacterial small subunit ribosomal RNA", at positions 917 to 1382 of the family's 1533-position model. The record is from RNAcentral.